UACUAGAGUAGCACUCGCAUAUCAAUAAGCGGAGGAAAAGAGACUAACAAGGAUUCCCCUAGUAACGGCGAGUGAAGCGGGAAGAGCUCAAAUUUGAAAUCUUAAAGGGUUUCCCUUUACGAAUUGUAGUUUAAAGAAGUGUUUUCUGUUGAGGUUUUGGUAAAAGUUCUUUGGAAUAGGACAUCAUAGAGGGUGAGAAUCCCGUAUUUGACCUUUACUUUCAACUUUGUGAUACACUUUCAAAGAGUCGGAUUGUUUGGGAAUGCAGUCCAAAAUGGGUGGUAAAUUUCAUCUAAAGCUAAAUAUUGGCGAGAGACCGAUAGCGAAUAAGUACCGUGAGGGAAAGAUGAAAAGAACUUUGAAAAGAGAGUUAAACAGUACGUGAAAUUGUCGAAAAGGGAAGCGUUUGACACCAGUGUUGUUUUUCUGAAAAUCAAUUAAAGAACUGUUUAUGCUAAGUUGUUUAGACUUUAUCAGCUAACUGUUUAGUUUUGAGCUUUUCUUUAAUGCACUUUUCAGUUAACAAGUCAACAUCAAUUUCUUUUGCUGUAAAAAAGCUUGAGGAAGGUGGCUUGAGAUUCGUCUUAAGUGUUUAUAGCCUCUUGCCUAUGCAGUCGGAGAGAUUGAGGUCUGCAGCGUAGAUCCUUCGGGGCUAAAUGCAUUUGUGCUAAGUUAUAGCAUUUUAUAGACAACUUGUUGACUAUGAUUUGUCUUGUAGCUUACUCGCUUAUGUUAUUUUACCUACGCUUAGGAUGUUGAACUCUAUCACACACAG
This 775-nucleotide ribosomal RNA is filed under the name uncultured Neocallimastigales. RNAcentral describes it as "partial large subunit ribosomal RNA". It matches the Rfam family "Eukaryotic large subunit ribosomal RNA", at positions 20 to 627 of the family's 3401-position model. Lineage: Eukaryota; Fungi; Neocallimastigomycota; Neocallimastigomycetes; Neocallimastigales. The record is from RNAcentral.